Molecule: ribosomal RNA, 205 nt
Filed under: uncultured Chlamydiales bacterium
Lineage: Bacteria; Pseudomonadati; Chlamydiota; Chlamydiia; Chlamydiales
Description: partial 16S ribosomal RNA
Rfam family: Bacterial small subunit ribosomal RNA
Source: RNAcentral
CAACACUGGGACUGAGACACUGCCCAAACUCCUACGGGAGGCUGCAGUCGAGAAUCUUUCGCAAUGGGCGAAAGCCUGACGAAGCGACGCUGCGUGAGUGAUGAAGGCUUUCGGGUUGUAAAACUCUUCGCGCAAGAGCAAAGUGGGUUAGGUGGGUUAGUGAAUAACUGAUUCAUAUGAGAGUACUGCGUAAAGAAGCACCGGC